This 254-nucleotide ribosomal RNA is filed under the name uncultured microorganism. RNAcentral's name for it is "partial 16S ribosomal RNA". It matches the Rfam family "Archaeal small subunit ribosomal RNA", at positions 474 to 727 of the family's 1478-position model. The record is from RNAcentral.
CACCGGCGGCUCGAGUGGUGGCCACUUUUAUUGGGUCUAAAGCGUCCGUAGCCGGCUUGGCAAGUCCCCUGGGAAAUCUGGCGGCUUAACCGUCAGGCGUCCAGAGGAUACUGCCAGGCUUGGGACCGGGAGAGGUGAGAGGUACCUCAGGGGUAGGGGUGAAAUCUUGUGAUCCCUGAGGGACCACCAGUGGCGAAGGCGUCUCACUAGAACGGGUCUGACGGUCAGGGACGAAAGCUGGGGGCACGAACCGG